Vitis vinifera (wine grape) is the source of this 566-nucleotide long non-coding RNA. RefSeq lists it as uncharacterized. The record is from RefSeq and is a predicted model, not a curated record. The transcript has 2 exons. Lineage: Eukaryota; Viridiplantae; Streptophyta; Magnoliopsida; Vitales; Vitaceae.
GAGAGAGAAUGAAAACGAAAUGAGGAGAGAAAGGAGAGAGCAGAACCUGCACUGCAACCACGGGAAAGCAGAGAAGAGCGAGGGGCGUCCACGAGAGAAAAAGAGUUGGGACUUGGAAAGGGUCUGAAAAGCGCACCGGAGGCGCGCCUCUUCCAUGUCUUGAAGUCUGACUCGUAUGCCUUUUGGGCUCGACGCGUACCUGCAGCGCGCCUCGACGCGUACCUGAAGCGCGCCUCGACGCGUACCUGAAGCGCGCCUCGACGCGUACCUGAAGCGCGCCUCGACGCGUACCUGAAGCGCGCCUCGACGCGUACCUGCAGCGCGCCUCGACGCGUACCGAAGCGCGCCUCGACGCGUACCGAAGCGCGCCCCGAUGCACACUGAAGCGCGCCUGCCAAUUCCUUCACCGACGCCCAAAUAGUGGGACAAAAUCGAAAUUUGAUCUCCAUUCUCCACUAUGAAUGGUAAUAAUGUAUUAGAAUGAGUCAUCAACAGAAUAAAGUAAGAUUAUUUUUUUAGGUUUUUCCACUUAAUGCAGAAAGCUUUAAGCACGUCUUUCCGGUUGA